GUAUCACUCGUUCUUGCCAAAGGUAUCUUCGGUUCAUCUUUGCCGUCGUGGUUCACGUAAGCCACUAUGGGCUACCCUUUGACCCAUGGAAAGCAAGGUUCGCUUGGCGAAAAAUAAUGGUUCCCUUUUUUGUCAGAAAGUUCUUCUAACUUUCUUUUCUUUUGGUAGAAAGUUCUUCUAACUUUCUUCUCUUUUAGUAGAAAGUUCUUCUAACUUUCUUUUUUGCCCCUUUGCUUUUUUGCUUCGUCAUAGAUUAUUUGAGUGCAAUCUUAGAAUGAGAGGUACCGUGCGGCGUUUAGAAUAAGUUAAGCGUAUGCGUGGGAUCCUAUGCAAUUAGUAUUAAGUUAAUGUAUGUGUGUGUGUGUAAUACAAGUUCUUUGCUGGAUUGUGGUAAAGUACUUGUAUAUGCGAGCCUAUGAGUUAAGUAGAGUCAGAACUCAUUUAUCCUUCCGAUAAAUGAGCGAUUUGCAAAUGGAGGGUGGUAGGGAUUUGGAGUUAGGGUGGGUCACAAUCGUAGUCACCUCCACGUGGUGUGACCUGGUAAUCGAUAUCAUUUUCGAUAUGUUGUCCAAAAGACAAUAUGUAGAAAAUGGUAUCGAGCUAAGUGCUACGAUUUAUGUUUAAGUUAGAAUGAAAUUGUAAUUGUAUUAUAAUUAUAAGUUAUCAUUUUUACAAGUUUCAGCUUUCGACUUUUACUUUUUCAUCGCCGGCAAGGAGAACAAAGUACAUGAAUGCACAUUAACAUUUCAAUUGUCAUGAUACAUGAAAUUGAAACUCGAAAUAAAUGACAGUUUAACCACAAAAUUCUUUUUCUCUUUUAGGAAAUAAAAUUCUGAUGUAAGGAAAGUUAUCAAAUCGAACAUGUCGUAAGUAAUACUGUCACUAAUUAUUUUUAUCUAUUUUAAAAUAAUGCAUUAUUUCACUUAAUUUAGUGCCCAAGCAAAUGGUUCAUGUAAUCAGCCAAUGUGCACAUCUCCAUGCAAUAUUAUUCCUGUGAAUAUUGUAGAGGGACCACCUGAUAAUUUUUGUACAGUAUGUUUAUUCUGCAAUACAUCCGUUUACUCCUUAUAGUCCACCUUAUACGCCUUGUUCUCCUCGAAGUUAUUCAUACUGGUAUAGUAAAUACCAACCAUAUACAACAUUACGGAAUGUUUGCAGUAUUACUUGUCCCCCUUACAGUAAGUUACAAAUUCAGAUCAAUGAUAUCAAAGAAUAUAACAUAAUUCAACAUUGUAACUGCCUUUUAUUUUCAGCAUCCAGCGUUUACAGAUGUUAAAUCAAAGUUGCCAGACUGUAAAAUGUGUUGUGACUGCAUAAAUAAUCAAAUAUUCUUUUGUAAUGACUAAAUAAAAAAUUAUUGUUGCAUAAAUUGCACUAUUUUAUUUGUACAAGAUACCAAUUUAUGUACAAA
Unclassified non-coding RNA from Megachile rotundata (alfalfa leafcutting bee), 1411 nucleotides. The record is from RefSeq and is a predicted model, not a curated record. Lineage: Eukaryota; Metazoa; Arthropoda; Insecta; Hymenoptera; Megachilidae.